AUUGAACGCUGGCGGCAGGCCUAACACAUGCAAGUCGAGCGGAAACGAUCCUAGCUUGCUAGGAGGCGUCGAGCGGCGGACGGGUGAGUAACGCGUGAGAAUCUACCCAUGAGUGGGGGACAACCCGGGGAAACUCGGGCUAAUACCGCAUACGCCCUACGGGGGUAAAGCAGGGGACCUUCGGGCCUUGCGCUGAUGGAUGAGCUCGCGUCGGAUUAGCUUGUUGGUGAGGUAAAGGCUCACCAAGGCGACGAUCCGUAGCUGGUCUGAGAGGAUGAUCAGCCACACCGGGACUGAGACACGGCCCGGACUCCUACGGGAGGCAGCAGUGGGGAAUCUUGGACAAUGGGGGCAACCCUGAUCCAGCCAUGCCGCGUGUGUGAAGAAGGCCUUCGGGUUGUAAAGCACUUUCAGCAGGGAGGAAGGCUUACCCCUAAUACGGGUGAGUACUUGACGUUACCUGCAGAAGAAGCACCGGCUAAUUUCGUG
This 489-nucleotide ribosomal RNA is filed under the name uncultured bacterium. RNAcentral's name for it is "bacterial SSU rRNA". It matches the Rfam family "Bacterial small subunit ribosomal RNA", at positions 29 to 507 of the family's 1533-position model. The record is from RNAcentral.